AUACGUAGGUGACAAGCGUUAUCCGGAUUUACUGGGCGUAAAGGGCGUGUAGGCGGUCUUGCAAGUCAGAAGUGAAAUUCCUGAGCUCAACUCGGGCGCUGCUUCUGAAACUGCAGGACUUGAGUGCUGGAGGGGAUAGCGGAAUUCCUAGUGGAGCGGUAAAAUGCGCAGAUAUUAGGAAGAACACCGGUGGCGAAGGCGGCAAUCUGGACAGUAACUGACGCUGAGGCGCGAAAGCGUGGGGAGCAAACAGGAUUAGAUACCCUGGUAGUCCACGCUGUAAACGAUGAAUACUAGGUGUAGGGGGUAUCGACUCCCUCUGUGCCGCAGUUAACACAAUAAGUAUUCCGCCUGGGGAGUACGGCCGCAAGGUUGAAACUCAAAUGAAUUGACGGGG
This 397-nucleotide ribosomal RNA is filed under the name uncultured bacterium. Its description in RNAcentral is "partial 16S ribosomal RNA". It matches the Rfam family "Bacterial small subunit ribosomal RNA", at positions 523 to 918 of the family's 1533-position model. The record is from RNAcentral.